UGGGCUGUUCGCCCAUUAAAGUGGUACGCGAGCUGGGUUCAGAACGUCGUGAGACAGUUCGGUCCCUAUCCGUCGCAGGCGUAGGAAAUUUGAGAAGCCCUGUCCUUAGUACGAGAGGACCGGGAUGGACGUACCUCUGGUGUACCAGUUGUUCUGCCAAGGGCAUGGCUGGGUAGCUAUGUACGGAAUGGAUAAGCGCUGA
This 202-nucleotide ribosomal RNA is filed under the name Clostridioides difficile. RNAcentral describes it as "partial 23S ribosomal RNA". It matches the Rfam family "Bacterial large subunit ribosomal RNA", at positions 2572 to 2774 of the family's 2925-position model. The record is from RNAcentral. Lineage: Bacteria; Bacillati; Bacillota; Clostridia; Peptostreptococcales; Peptostreptococcaceae.